Long non-coding RNA from Gallus gallus (chicken), 2884 nucleotides. The record is from Ensembl. NCBI's taxonomy places the organism in Eukaryota, Metazoa, Chordata, Aves, Galliformes, Phasianidae.
CCCGACCCUCGCCCCGCCCCCGGCCCGCAGUGCCGCCCCAGCCCCGCACAGGAGACCCCGCGGGGUUCGCUCGGCUUCGGAGCUGCGGGAAGGGCACCGCGUCCCCGUUCCUCUGCACCAUUCCCCCGCCGUAAGAAACCUGUGGAGCAUCACACACAAAAGCGGGAUUACCCGAUGCGGCACUUGGGGAGCACUUCAAAUUGAAGAACGGCUCGAGGGCUGAAAAAAUCACUUGAUAAAACACCCAGCAUUUCCAUUCGUGCAGGAGAUGUGCGAAGUGAGAGCAGUGUGGCGAAGCAGCAGAGGCAGAAGGCAGGACAUGGCAGGAGCACACCAGGAGCCACGAACUGCGUGCCACUGAGCCACGCUCCUCAGGCAUGGCGAGGUAACAUCACACCUGUCCUCUGACCAAACCAGGGAAGGUGGAUGCGUUUUAUGGACAUGUGGCUUCCUGGCAAACCCCACGAGGAAAUGAUCCAUUGAUGUGUCCGGUCCUCAUCCUUUGCUGCGUGCUGCCGGGCCAUCUCUGCGCAGUGGGGCUGUGCCAGCUCAGGAAGGGACCCUGGAAGUAAUGCACAGGAUUGGAGUUCUGCAGGAGAGUGCUCUGUCAGACCUUCAGAGGGCUUUGAGAACAGAACUGCUGCCUCGUUCGGACGCCUUGUUGCAGCUGGAACACACAUUUUGUUUGGAGGCAGAAGAAGUCUUAUCUGCCUGUACCAGUACACGGAACCAGUGCUUGUGUUGUGCUGUGAACUGUGAGGCAGGCUGGAAAGGAGAGAAAAUCACCAGCUGCCAGGAACCUUCCCUGCAUGGCACACGUAGCUGACACUCCAGCAUAAUUGGUGCUCAUAUGAGAGGAGAGGGCACAGCAGCUGUAUUACAGCUGUACAGAGUCCAUUGGCAUGAAUGCACCAUCAGCAAGCGGCAAAGCAAAAUGCAUCCCAAACCCUCACUGACAUGUUCUAUUCACUCAUGGCAGAGGGAUGUGUUUGACAGGGAAACUGAGGUUUGCUCCAAAGGCAUCAGCACAGUCAGCCCAGGGCCAUCCUCCAGCACUGCCCUGCAUGGGGACAGCCCUUGUGCAACAGCGAGCCGAGGUGGCACAACCAGAUUGCAAUAGCUGCUGACUUCUCUAAGUACAGCUGCUCACAUCAGGCAGGCUCAGCACAGGCAGCUCACUGUGACACACGGUUGGCACCGUGAGAGCGGCGCUUAUUAUGACUACAGCCACGCUCAUUGUUUUACGUGAAGAUGAUCAGGAAUAAGUUAAAAUAAACAGAAAUGGGAGUGUCUGCAAGGGGUCUGCAUUGUCCUCGCUGAGCUGGUGGAAGGUCGUGUGUAGAAAGGCUUUGCUGAUUUGUAAAUACAGAAAUCCUUGAGCUCCCGUCACGAGAAUUGCUCCAGAAGCGCCCGGCGCUGCUUCUUUCCUUCCUGGGCCUCUUGAGAGAGGAGGGGACGACGAUAACAAAAAUAAUGCAGCACUGGCCUUUUUAAAUAGGCACUCCUUCUGUAAUGGUUCGGUGACUGCAGAGCGGUCCCAGGAGGCGUUUUCCCUUUCGGUUAACUCCCACCCCAGGGGCCGAUGCCUGCUGUGCUGCUUUCCUGGGCCCUGUGCUGGAAGGAGGCCCCGCGGCUCCGGCUGCGGCACGCAGGCUGCAGGCACCUCUCCCAGGAGCAGCAUUAAAAUAAAUUUUUCAGAAAAAAUACCUCCUUUCAUCUUGAAGAUGCAAAGUGUUGGUGGAUAGACACGUCUUCUUGUAAAUGAUCCUGAUGGUUAAUUGCUUUGACUGCUCAGAAAUUGUGUUUAAUUUGACUUGGCACCAUCCACAAGAUUAAAAUACCUUUGCUUUCAGAUACUCCUUCCGCACGCAGGGACCCAGCUGCUUGACUUUCCCUGAGCUGAGUGGAAGGAUGCAGCCCUCAGCCUGCUGCCCAGCCCCAGUGCUGCCCAGCCCCCCAGCGCCCUGAGCCCCAGCAGCAGCUCUCCCCCAUCCCAGGCACUCACCACUGCUAUAAGAUGUCUUUACAAUCCCUUCCCAGGAGUGCCAGAGCUACCUUAGAAAACACACUUCGCUACAAUCAACCCAACUUCUCCCCAGGAUAAAUAUUCCACACCAUUUGUUCUGCAGAGCUGAUAGAGGGCUUUAAAAUGGCAGCUAAAGCACAAAGCAGAUCGCAGAGAUGACCUCUCCUACCAUCCAGGUGCGUUGCACACAAAAGAUUUCCAAAGCGACUGCUGCUGAAGCCAAGCCAAAGCUCUCACUAUUUUCCACACAGACAGCGUGAUGUUAUCACAGGAGCCAUGUUGGGGCCCAUACAUUGGCACGGAUCCUUCACUAUUGUCGGGAAAAUCUCUAUUUGAGGAAUUGCAGAGUAACAAUGAUAACUCUCAAAGUGCGUUGUUGCUUUCUCAGCGCAGAGCCCAACCCAAGCACAGCCAGCACUCAAUGCAUAGGGCAACCUAAGCAAUGCCACCACGGGGCUGCCUGGCCAAUGAUGUAAGCAGUGAGAAAGCUCCACGAGCCUGAGAUCUAUGGGAAAGAAGGCUUCAGCCUAUCCAUUUUCGAGAAGAUUUCUCACAAUAGCUCUGAGAGCUUUUGUUUCCCAUUGUCGGAAGACUAAUUUCUGACAUGGUCCUCAUUAGCAGCUCGGCAGCAACGCGACGUCCCACUCAUCCAUCGCCACAGCCUGGCACUCCUUGGGGUGCUGGCAGGGUGGGCUCACCACAGCCCCCCAAGGGAAUCAGAGAGACAGCUUUUGCACAGAAAGUGUGGAAAAACCCUACUGUGAUUCACCCACACCCAGUUCAAUAAACAUCAGAUCUGGUGGCGUUCGUCGUUUUUUUCAUCCCAUGCUCGAUUACAGCUUCAGUUAUUGCUCAAAU